Molecule: ribosomal RNA, 460 nt
Filed under: uncultured bacterium
Lineage: Bacteria
Description: partial 16S ribosomal RNA
Rfam family: Bacterial small subunit ribosomal RNA
Source: RNAcentral
CCUACGGGAGGCAGCAGUGAGGAAUAUUGGUCAAUGGCCGAGAGGCUGAACCAGCCAAGUCGCGUGAGGGAAGACUGCCCUAUGGGUUGUAAACCUCUUUUGUCAGGGAGCAACGCCGGCUACGUGUAGCCGGACUGAGAGUACCUGAAGAAAAAGCAUCGGCUAACUCCGUGCCAGCAGCCGCGGUAAUACGGAGGAUGCGAGCGUUAUCCGGAUUUAUUGGGUUUAAAGGGUGCGUAGGCGGAAUGCCAAGUCAGCGGUAAAAUGGAGAGGCUCAACCUCUUCGAGCCGUUGAAACUGGUUUUCGUGAGUGAGUGAGAAGUAUGCGGAAUGCGUGGUGUAGCGGUGAAAUGCAUAGAUAUCACGCAGAACUCCGAUUGCGAAGGCAGCAUACCGGCGCUCAACUGACGCUCAUGCACGAAAGUGUGGGUAUCGAACAGGAUUAGAUACCCCUGUAGUC